GCGCCGGGAGCAUUCAAUAUCUCCCUUAUCCUGACUUGGUGGGAGGAUCAGCGUAGCCAUUGACCCCAGGGAAGAGGCCUGCCCUAUCUGUUUGCUACAGGAGACCUUUGAGGACGUAUUCUCUGACCGCUCCCUUCGCAAAGUGCCCUGGUACGUGCUGGCCGGAAACCAUGACCACCUUGGCAACGUCUCUGCCCAGAUUGCAUACUCUAAGAUCUCCAAGCGCUGGAACUUCCCCAGCCCUUUCUACCGCCUGCACUUCAAGAUCCCACGGACCAAUGUGUCUGUGGCCAUUUUUAUGCUGGACACUGUGACACUAUGUGGCAACUCGGAUGACUUCCUCAGCCAGCAGCCUGAGAGGCCCCGAGACGUGAAGCUGGCCCGCACACAGCUGUCCUGGCUCAAGAAACAGCUGGCGGCGGCCAGGGAGGACUACGU
Molecule: small RNA, 438 nt
Filed under: Pongo abelii (Sumatran orangutan)
Lineage: Eukaryota; Metazoa; Chordata; Mammalia; Primates; Hominidae
Description: retained intron
Source: RNAcentral